UAUUCUACUGAGAUCUGCCUUCAAUGUGGAGACCAAUACAAACACUGCCCCGGAGGAUACGUUGGCAGAGGAAAAAGAGGAGAACUAAGGGCACUUUACUCGGAGGAGAUGCUCCCAGGCUACUGCAGCCACUUUUGCAGCCAAAUGAACAGUUAAUGUGUCUGCUCUGUCGCCGCCCUCGUCUCCACACACAACCACACACGCACACACACACUCACACGCACGGACACACGUCUGUCUUUCUAUCAUAGUGAGGACCCUUCAUUGACUUCCAUUCAUUUUUGUGAUUUCACCAUGCCUAACCCAUACCCCAACCCUAACCAUAACCAACGCUGAUCUUUUCCUAACCUUAACUAAAACUUAAUUCACACUAUGCCUCUAACUGGUAUAGUAAGCUUCUGGUAUGCUUCUAAAAAAAGCGAGGACCAAAAAAUGUCCUCACUUUGUAGGGAAAAUGGUCAAAAUGGUCCUCAGUAUGUAGUAUGUACAAGAACACACACACACCACCCUGGUUGUAGUGACCAGGUUCCCCAUCAGUGGUUCUCCCACACCUUGGUUUGUGUUUUGAUGCCUGUUUUUCUUUGUGAGAGUUUUUGAUCAUUCUUCUUGGAGUUCUAGAGCAAAAACUGUAAUGCUCUUGUGGCAAGGUGGAUAAACGAGGGCCCGGGCGGGAUUCGACCCCCAGACUCCCGGGUGAGAGUCAUACGCUCUAACCAGUCAGCCAAAGGGACAUCCCCUUGGCCAAGUAGCCAGGGCGCAUGAUCAAUCAGGACACUGUGACAGGACACACACUGUCACACUCUGUUUGAGAAAGUGAAUCUGUUGGGCUUGUACCUGGUACUCAGAGUACCACACUGCCAGAAAGGACAGGCUGAAAAUAAAAAGCUUUAUUUCCAUCAA
This is a non-coding RNA of Nothobranchius furzeri (turquoise killifish), 900 nucleotides long. The record is from RefSeq and is a predicted model, not a curated record. Lineage: Eukaryota; Metazoa; Chordata; Actinopteri; Cyprinodontiformes; Nothobranchiidae.